This 501-nucleotide ribosomal RNA is filed under the name uncultured archaeon. RNAcentral describes it as "bacterial SSU rRNA". It matches the Rfam family "Archaeal small subunit ribosomal RNA", at positions 352 to 859 of the family's 1478-position model. The record is from RNAcentral.
GCAAUACACGAAAGUGUGACGGGGUUACCCAGAGUGUUCAAUUUUGAACUGUGGUAGGUGAGUAAUGUUCCCUACUAGAAAGGAGAGGGCAAGGCUGGUGCCAGCCGCCGCGGUAAAACCAGCUCUUCAAGUGGUCGGGAUAAUUAUUGGGCUUAAAGUGUCCGUAGCCGGUUUAGUAAGUUCCUGGUAAAAUCGGGUAGCUUAACUAUCUAUAUGCUAGGAAUACUGCUAUACUAGAGGGCGGGAGAGGUCUGAGGUACUACAGGGGUAGGGGUGAAAUCUUGUAAUCCCUGUGGGACCACCAGUGGCGAAGGCGUCUUACCAGAACGGGUCCGACGGUGAGGGACGAAAGCUGGGGGCACGAACCGGAUUAGAUACCCGGGUAGUCCCAGCCGUAAACGAUGUUCGCUAGGUGUCAGGGACGGUGCGGCCGUUUCUGGUGCCGUAGGGAAGCCGUGAAGCGAACCACCUGGGAAGUACGGCCGCAAGGCUGAAACUUAA